Pongo abelii (Sumatran orangutan) is the source of this 148-nucleotide unclassified non-coding RNA. It matches the Rfam family "Metazoan signal recognition particle RNA". From Rfam's summary of the family: The signal recognition particle (SRP) is a universally conserved ribonucleoprotein. It is involved in the co-translational targeting of proteins to membranes. The eukaryotic SRP consists of a 300-nucleotide 7S RNA and six proteins: SRPs 72, 68, 54, 19, 14, and 9. NCBI's taxonomy places the organism in Eukaryota, Metazoa, Chordata, Mammalia, Primates, Hominidae. The record is from Ensembl.
GUGGGGCAUGGUGGCGCAUGCCUGUAAUCCCAGCUACUUGGGAGGCUGAGGCAGGAGAAUCACUUGAACCCAGGAGGCAGAGGUUGCAGUGAGCUGAGAUUGCGCCACUGCACUCCAGCCUGGGCAACAGAGUGAGACUCUGUCUCAA